Molecule: long non-coding RNA, 215 nt
Filed under: Gossypium barbadense (sea-island cotton)
Lineage: Eukaryota; Viridiplantae; Streptophyta; Magnoliopsida; Malvales; Malvaceae
Description: long non-coding RNA (GBAR_LNC017267)
Source: RNAcentral
CAAAAUGCUCAUAUAAGGGUCUAACCUUUACAAAAAUACUCAAUUGAAAGCCAAACCUUUCAAAGUGCUCAAAUAAGGGCCAAAAGUUUUUGAAAGUGCUCAAAUAAAAGCCAAACUUUUUUGAAAGUACUCAAAUAAGGGCUUCUCAUAUUUCGUAUAUCAGAUCUCAAAUUAUGUUUUUAUUUUUUUUAUUUUCAAGCAAUAUUUGAUUCAAC